UCAUUACGGAGUUGCAAAACUCCCAACCAUUGUGAACCUACCUCACCGUUGCUUCGGCGGGUGGCUUGGGGCAACCCAGGCCGCGUCGGCUCCCCUCGCGGAGCUGGCAGCCCGUCAGAGGCCCCUAAACUCUUGCAUAUUGGCCUCUCUGAGUAACUUAUACAAUAAGUCAAAACUUUCAACAACGGAUCUCUUGGUUCUGGCAUCGAUGAAGAACGCAGCGAAAUGCGAUACGUAAUGUGAAUUGCAGAUUUCAGUGAAUCAUCGAAUCUUUGAACGCACAUUGCGCCCGCUAGUAUUCUGGCGGGCAUGCCUGUUCGAGCGUCAUUUCAACCAUCAAGCGCCUGCGCUUGUGUUGGAGCCCUGCGGCUGCCGCAGGCUCCCAAACCCAGUGGCGGGCUCGUCGUCGUACCGAGUGCAGUAAACUUACCACGCUCAGGGCACGCGACGGGUGACCGGCCGUAAAACCCCCCCCUUCUCAAGGUUGACCUCGGAUCAUGUANGAAUACCCGCUGAACUUAAGCAUAUCAAUAAGCGGAGGAAAAGAAACCAACAGGG
This 558-nucleotide ribosomal RNA is filed under the name uncultured fungus. RNAcentral describes it as "eukaryotic LSU rRNA". The stretch from base 174 to 327 matches the Rfam family "5.8S ribosomal RNA". Lineage: Eukaryota; Fungi. The record is from RNAcentral.